This is an RNA transcript of Phyllopteryx taeniolatus (common seadragon), 5335 nucleotides long. It is a transcript of the gene named mitochondrial ribosomal protein S22, with no coding region annotated. The record is from RefSeq and is a predicted model, not a curated record. NCBI's taxonomy places the organism in Eukaryota, Metazoa, Chordata, Actinopteri, Syngnathiformes, Syngnathidae. The transcript has 9 exons.
AGAAGAAGAAGAAGAAGAUGUAGUUACUACUAAACGAAGAAGAAGCAAGAUGGCGGCGCUCGGUACGGCACGGUGCUUACUUCGAGGCUGUUCUUGGCUGCAAAAUGUUCAGAGAAAUAAAAACUUGCUUGACAAAUGUAGCACCAGGACGUUUUGCAGCGAUACACAAGACACUGUGCAAAACCAUGCAAAGCCCAAGUUCACAGAUCCACUUGUGCAGCGCAUCCUCACCAGGAUAAGUGGCCUGGACCUGCAGAAGGUGUUUCAACCGCUUCAACAGGAACUGAAGCCGCCAACGUAUAAACUCAUGACUGAUGAACAGUUGGAGCAGGUGGUGAAAUUGGCCACAGAGAAAGCGAAGAAGCUGCUGCAAAUGCCACCUGUUUUACCCGAGAGGAAGCCCAUUAGUGACGUACUGUCUGUGGACAAGAUUCUGGAUGGCACGGAUACAGCAAAAUACGUCUUCACAGACAUAACUUACAACAUUCCACACAGGGAAAGGUUCAUUGUUGUCAGGGAGACCAAUGGCACUCUAAGAAAAGCCACCUGGGAGGAAAGAGACCGGCUCAUUCAAGUGUACUUCCCAAAGGAGGGACGGAAACUCACUACACCUCUUCUCUUCAGUGAGGAGAACCUAAAGAUGGCAUUCUCUCAGGACCGACACAAAGAUGUGUUGGAUCUCUGUCUGGUCCAAUUUGAACCUGACUCAUCACAGUACAUCAAGGUGCAUGCUGCCACGUAUGAGAAUCUGGAGAAACAUGGGAAAUAUGAACUUCUUCGUUCUACCCGGCACUUUGGAGGCAUGGCCUGGUACCUGGUUAACGCUCGCAGGAUUGAUGGCCUCAUUGUAGACAUGCUGAAGAAGGAAUUUGUGCAGGAUGCAGUAAGCCUCGUGUCCCUCUUCCACCUGGUGCACCCUCACAGUGAGUCAGCCCAGGAAGCUUCCAGCCUGAAGGCUACAGACAUUGACCUUCUCAAGAGAUGCCAUAUGGUGGACCAGAAUUUCCUGAAAACGGUCUGAAAGUCAUUCUCCAUGGUCUCACCAAACUCCUCCCACACCCAAGUUUUUGCCUCUGUGACUGCCAAAGAUGCAUUCUGCUUGGCCAGCCGGUGCCCAUCAGCUGCCUCUGGAGUUCCACUGGCCAAAAACACUCGAUAGGACUUCUUCUUCAGCAUGAUGGUGUCCACCAACAGGUUCAGGGAUUGCCGCCACGACAGGGCAUGAUGGUGUCCACCAACAGGUUCAGGGAUUGCCGCCACGACAGGGCAUGAUGGUGUCCACCAACAGGUUGAGGGAUUGCCGCCACGACAGGCACGGGCCACCUUACGCCACAGCUGCGGUCGGCCCUCUCAGCAAUGGAGACGCGGACUCAAUGUCCCCCGCCUCCCUCGGGACGUGCUUGAAGUUCUGCCAGAGGUGGGAGUUGAAACUCCUGUUGACAGGGGAGUCUGCCAGAUGUUCCCAGCAGACCCUCACAAUACGUUUGGGUCUUCCAGGUCAGACCAGCAUCCCACCAUCGGAGCCAGCACUCCCCCAGGUGGUGAUCAGUUGACAGGUCCGCCCCCGUCUUGAGAAUCAUCUUUAUUUUGCCAUUUUUAAGAAGCUGUUGGAAUGUCUGCUAGUUUUAGUUUGCAUGGUUCGGUAGUGCCUACAUGAGGGAAGACGCUGGAAGAGCUGGUGACCAGGAUGUGGAGGGCCCAAGAGGAUUUUGCAUGCUCUUGUCUUAGUUCUAGCAGCGUGCAAGUCCUCAAGGGUGGGUAGGGGCAUACGACAAGCUUUUCAGCAGUUUUGAUUGUCCGUUGCAGUCGGAGGUUGUUCUUUUUUGUAGCAGCACCAAACCAGACUGUGAUGGAAGAACACAGGACUGAUUCGAUGACCAGUGUGUAGAACUUCCUCAACAGCUCCUGCGGCAGGCUGUGCUUCCUCAGAAGCCGCAGGAAGUACCUCCUCUACUGUGCCUUUUUGAGGAUGGAAUUGAUGUUGAACUCCCACUUCAGGUCCUGAGAGACUGUAAUUCCCAGGAACUUGAAGGUCUCAACGGUUGACACAAGGCAGUUGGGACAGCGUGAGGGGCAGGAUGCCUCCUAUAGUCCACAAUCAUCUCUACAGUCUUGAGCGUGUUCAGCUCCAGGUUGUGUCGGGCGCACCACAGCUCCAGCCGCUCCGCUUCCUGUCGAUAUGCAGACUCGUCACUGUCCUUGACGAGGCUGAUGACAGUGGUGUCAUCUGCAAACUUCAGGAGUUUGACAGUCGGGUGCGCUAAGGUGCAGUCAUUCGUGUAGCGAGAGAAGAGCAGCGGAGAGGACACAACCUUGAGGCGACGCGGUGCUGAUGGUGCGUGUAGAUGAGGUGGCCUCCCCAGCCUCACCUGCUGUGUCCUGCCCGUCAGGAAGCUGUAAAUCCACUGGCAGAUUGCGCCUAACCAUGUGGACGCCUCUGUUACGUGCUCUCUAGUAUUGUCUGUUUUUGUGUUUUUUGUUCGUCUUUGGAGACAUUACGCGACUCACUUACACAAGGGAAGACUUGCUAAACAUCAGGGAAUCUACCCCGAACUUUCUUUCACCAACUUUCACAAAUACGCUAAUUUUUUUUCCCCGUGUUACUCACCGGGGUAGGCCGAAUGUCCAAGACAUGCGGCCGCAAGUCCGAUGACAUGACCACAAAGUCGAUCAUCGAACUUUGGCCUAAGGUGUUCUGGUGCCAAGUGCACGUAUGGACACCCUUAUGUUUGUAUGUAGUGUUUGUUAUGGACAGUCCGUGAAGUCCAAUAGCAAAACACUGCUCGGGUUCUAGGUGGUGGGGGUGUUUGGGUUCGUUCCUAUCACGCCCUUCCAAGUCUCACUGUCAUUGCCCAUGUGAACGUUGAAAAUCCCCCAGAAGAACGAGGAGUCCCUAGUAAGGGCACUCUACAGCACCCCCUCCAAGGACUCCAGGAAGGGUGGGUACUCUGAGCUGCUGUUUGGCGCAUAGGCACAAACAACAUUCCGCGUCCGGGCAAGGGAAAAGUCUUCCAUUGUUUGUACUCAUCGGGGGGGCAGAAUUUUUAAGACAUCCUUUGUCUGGUCCCUUGCUCCCAGGAUCAUUGGGAUGCACAAAUCCCUCAACGAUGAUGAGGUGGCAGCUCAAGGAAGGUUGAGCUGAUUAUGCUUUCCACAUAAUCACUUGGGAGGUGGUACUUCUUCAGAUGAAUAAACAGUGUUGUCAGUUUUUGAGGGCGCCAACAAACCUUGCACAUCGGCUAGUUAAUAGUAUUGUUAUACGUCGCUUUGGAGACGGCGCUACACAGCCGGCGUUGGAAACCCAUGGAACAGCCGGCCGCCACGGAGGCGGGACCAAGAGUGGCCGCGGACGACACGGCGUGCUCCGUGUGACAACGGCGGACCGGGAGUUUCAGUCUUGCUGUGGGGCGGGCACGGCUAGGAGGCGUGGUUUGUUUACUCUCACAAAUGGCAUUGGAACAGGAAAAGUACAACUCUGAUUGGCUGUUGUCGCGCACAUUCCCACCAUGUUAGAUCGAGGAAAGACGCACACAGCUGAUCACCGAGAAUUUUAUAACGAUCUUUGAUCUCAGUCAUAUACAGUGGGUACGGAAAGUAUUCAGACCCCCUUAAAAAUGUCACUCUUUAUAUUGCAGCCAUUUGCUAAAAUCAUUUAAGUUAAUUUUUUUCCCUCAAUGAAGGGUGUUUUAAUGUACAGCACCCCAUAUUGACAGAAAAAAACAAUUAAAAUUUUUGCAGAUUUAUUAAAGAAAAACUGAAAUAUCACACAGCCAUAAGUAUUCAGACCCUUUGCUGUGACACAUCUAUUUAACUCUGGUGCUGUCCAUUUCUUCUGAUCAUCCUUCAGAUGGUUCUAGACCGUCAUUGGAGUCCAGCUGUGUUUGAUUAUACUGAUUGGACUUGAUUAGGAAAGCCACACACCUGUCUAUAUAAGACCUUACAGCUCACAGUGCAUGUCAGAGCAAAUGAGAAUCAUGAGGUCAAAGGAACUGCCUGAAGAGCUCAGAGACAUUGUGACAAGGCACAGAUCUGGCCAAGGUUACUAGAAAAUGUCUGCUGCACUUAAGGUUCCUUAAAUGGAAGACGUUUGGGAUGUGCAGAACAAUUCCUAGAGCUGGCCAUCCGGCCAAACUGAGCAAUCGGGGGAGAAGAGCCUUGAUGAGAGAGGUAAAGAAGAACCCAAAGAUCACUGAGGCUGAGCUCCAGAGAGGCAGUCGGGAGAUGGGAGAAAGUUCUAGAAAGUCAACCAUCACUGCAGCCCUCCACCAGUCGGGGCCUUAUGGCAGAGUGGCCCAACGGAAGCCUCUCCUCAGUGCAAGACGCAUGAAAGCCCGCAUGUAGUUUGCAAAAAACAAAAAAAGAACACCUGAAGGACUCCAAGAUGGUGAGGAAUAACAUUCUCUGGUCUGAUGAGACCAAGAUUGAACUUUUUGGCCUUAAUUCUUAGCGGGCUGUGUGGAGAAAACCAGGCACUGCUCAUCGCCUGUCCAAUACAGUCCCAACAUUGAAGCAUGGUGGUGGCAGCAUCAUGCGGUGGGGGUGUUUUUCAGCUGCAGGGACAGGAUGACUGGUUGCAAUCGAAGGAAAGAUGAAUGUGGCAAAGUACACAGAUAUCCUGGAGGAAAACCUUCUCCGGAGUGCACAGGACCUCAGACUGGGCCGAGUGGGUGACUCGUCUGCAUAGUGAGGAAAAUGAUAGCUGCCAAAUAUAGAGAAAUUCUUCAAGAGAACUCGCUCCAGAGUUCUCUGGAACUCAGACUAUGGCGUCGAUUCACCUUCCAAGACAAUGACCCUAAGCACACAGCUAAAAUAACGAAGGAAUGGCUUCAGAACAACUCCGUGACUGUUCUUUUAUGGCCCAGCCAGAGGCCUUAACUUAAAUCCAAUUGAGCAUCUCUGGAGAGACCUGGAAAUGGCUGUCCACCAAUUUCUACCAUGCAACCUGACAGAAAUGGAGAGGAUCUGCAAGGAGGAAUGGCAGAGGAUCCCCAAAUCCAGAUCUAUGCCCUGAAGGAAUCCCAGAGGUCAGGCUACAUUGAGUUGGCCUUGCAGGCAUAUGAACAGACCGUGCCUAACAGCGCUGCUGUCUGAUCGACUUACUCUCAUUUGGAAUUUUGCAAAUCGACAGAGAAAGAUAACCUCAAGCUAAAGGGGAUGCUAUGUAGCCUCUCAUUUGAAGUCUAUGCAGAGAGUUCUGUCUCCGUACAGUAAUAUGUGCUCCAUAAAUUAACAGUUUAUGGAAACAGAUUGCAUGCCAAUUGUGUUUGGAGUUUGUGUCCUACCUACAGUUUCUACAUAAAUGAACUGAAAUCACUGAAAUAAAAAUGUCUAUGUA